UACGGAGGGUGCAAGCGUUAUCCGUAUUCACUGGGUUUAAAGGGAGCGUAGGUGGGGUGGUAAGUCAGUGGUGAAAUCUCCGGGCUUAACUUGGAAACUGCCAUUGAUACUAUCAGUCUUGAAUAUUGUGGAGGUCAGCGGAAUAUGUCAUGUAGCGGUGAAAUGCUUAGAUAUGACAUAGAACACCAAUUGCGAAGGCAGCUGGCUACACAUAUAUUGACACUGAGGCACGAAAGCGUGGGGAUCAAACAGG
RNAcentral lists this ribosomal RNA (253 nucleotides) under uncultured bacterium. RNAcentral describes it as "partial 16S ribosomal RNA". It matches the Rfam family "Bacterial small subunit ribosomal RNA", at positions 524 to 776 of the family's 1533-position model. The record is from RNAcentral.